This 250-nucleotide ribosomal RNA is filed under the name uncultured Aquisphaera sp. RNAcentral's name for it is "partial 16S ribosomal RNA". It matches the Rfam family "Bacterial small subunit ribosomal RNA", at positions 524 to 772 of the family's 1533-position model. Lineage: Bacteria; Pseudomonadati; Planctomycetota; Planctomycetia; Isosphaerales; Isosphaeraceae. The record is from RNAcentral.
GACGAACCGUCCGAACGUUAUUCGGAAUUACUGGGCUUAAAGCGCGUGUAGGCGGCCCGGCGCGUCGGACGUUGAAAUCCCCCGGCUCAACCGGGGAAGUGGCGCCGAUACGGCCGGGCUGGAGGGGGGUAGGGGGGCCUGGAACUUCGGGUGGAGCGGUGAAAUGCGUUGAGAUCCGAAGGAACGCCCGUGGCGAAAGCGAGGCCCUGGACCCUUACUGACGCUGAGACGCGAAAGCCAGGGGAGCGAA